CACUGUUUCCCCCUUCUUCCCGAGGGCAAUGCUAAGAGGAGCCCCCUAGGAAUCAGACUGGCUGGAGUAGCUUGAGUAGCAGCUGUUCCAGCCAGUAAGACCAAAAGAGGAAGUUACAGGCAGGGGAGGAGGGACUGGAGGAAACUCUCUAUUCUGGAGGGUUCCCUGGUUGCUGAGUCCGGAACUUCCAGCAGUAUUUUGUUGCUGCAGGGACUGAAUGAGCGGUGGAGAUAGUAGCAGCGUUUUAAAGCAUGCCUCUUGACAACUAUCCGGAAAUGCAUUCCUCUGCAUUAUCCAGCGAGUACAUAGGACAAUGCUGCAACCCAGCUGUGUCCAAGCACAGACAUUUAUAACUGCCAUUUGCCUUGCAUCAAGAGUAACCCCUGAAUCACACAAAUAAUACUGAUGUUGAUAUAGAGUCUAUUAGAAAUUAGAGCUUGAGACAAAAGCCUUUGUUUAGCUGUACUGAUGGUAUGCAGUCCCAGGAACUGCAAAUUGUACUUUAAGAAGACACAUUGCUACAUGUUUUGGAACUUUAAAAAAUGAAAGUACCACAUUUCCCUUAAGAGUGAGAACAGUGGAAAGAAAAUCAGUUCUCCAUGCACUCCUGUCUAUUCAGCACAGCCGACAAGAAGAAAGGAGAUUCAAGCUGAAAAAAUGCAGAGUCUUGUUUAAAACAAAACAAAAAAGGAGACAAGGCAGUUUCCAUUUUUAGCCAUCCUCAUCAGACUGGGUGUCAAACGAUAUGGUACAGUACAGGCUCCUUUACACGAAGCAUUAGCUCCCGUCUCCAGCAAAAUGCAUGCACAACACAGCAGCCUUCCAAAUGAGAAGCAAGAAGACACUUACCUUUCUACAAUGGUAACAAAAGAAUAGCAGCUUGGCCACUUCCGCAGCAAAUGCCUCUGUCAAGAAAAUGCAAAGAGUAAAGUCAGCUUGAAAGCUGCAGAGAGAGGCACUACCUAUUAUACUGGUGCCUUUUUCCAGGCACCCGGCUGACAGUGCUUGAACACCACCACCCUCCCCCCCCCACCUCUGCAUCACAGCAGGCGACUGUAGCCAGGAGACAGAGGUGCUUAAAUUAGAAAACCACUGCCAGAGGAAAUAAACAGGAACCACAGCGACCCCCUCGACCCCAGCAGCCAUCAAAUCCGGGAAGAUACAGUGCACAUCUGUUUCACAAGGCCCCUUGGGAGCUCCAACUCCAGCUACUUACCCUGCCUGCAUUAUUAAUAGAUGUUAAUGGCUCCAUUAUAUUGAAAGGAAGCCUUUUCCUUUCCUAUAAUAUGGAAAUUCAGGAGAGGUUUAAGAAAAUAAUAAUCAGGAGAUUGCAACUGCCUCUGUGGUCCUUCUACUGGCAGAGGUAGUGUUACACACACUCACUCACUCCCUUCCAGCUAUUCACUGGUGAUACUCCACCCUUCAACAUAUCAGUUUGGCAGCCAGAAAUUGAGUCCAAGCACUAAACUGCAAUAAAGUUGACAAGCAGGCAAAGACAUCCUGCCACCAGGCCAUUUCCUAAUUAAUUAAUUAAAUUUUAAAUCGCCUGCAACAUUUCAUCCAGAGCAUUUUCCGAGUCUAUACAAGUGAUGCAGUGACUCAAGUACUGAAUUUACUCCUUGGUAUGCUUGCAACACAAUUGGGGGCGGGAGGCUGGGUAUCUUCUGUGGUAGAGACAAAGAAGAGUAUAUUCAGACUGACUCAGUGACAAAAGCCUCUGGUCCUCAGAUUUGCUGAUGCAUACGAGAAUAUGAUCAUGGACUAUCCCUACUAUAGGUAGUAUUUUUGUUAGUAUUUGGGUUCCUUGGGAACUGUACACACACACACUCCAACAGGUAUAGGGAAGUUACAUUUUAAAGUAUGCAAGAUCCCAAAUAUCCCCCACAAAGAUAUUGGACACUCAUUUUAAAUUCAGAUCUUUCUAAAAAUUAUCUGACAUUACCAAUGGGGAAUAAACUAAGUCUAACUCCCUUUUGCUAGCUGUACAUAGAAGGCCCUGCACUUAUCAAUAAAAGUACAAUAUAUUUAUCAGAAUUUUGCAACAAUAAUGCAGCUUGGUUACAUGUGGAUGGGGCAAAUACAGUGGAAGAUAUUUCACAAUACUGUCUGUUCAUUAAUUAAAUUGCUGAACAUGUGUGCAUCUCUUGGUCUCUCUAGUGUCACAUUAAGUGUUUCUUAGCUAAAUUUAGCUUUAGUGAAGCUGGAUUUGCAGCAAAAAGCCUUUUUAUCCCAUGCAGAAUAGACUAACAAAUAUUUAAGUUUCAGCCGAUCCCACCCCAUCUACACGUUAUAGAGGCAGACAAUGCAUCUUCAAGGCUAUUAACAUAUUUACACUGUGGCUUUUCAUGGCUGAGUAGGAGGCCUUGGCGUCAGCCAGCCAGCAUCCUUCUAUUGCAGAUGCAAAAAAUGCAGCUGUUUGCUUACUUCUGAGGAAUACAUGAGAAGUGUCAUUAAUUCUUCCAAGACAAAUGUUAAGCGAUUGGCUUUGUUGCCCACUGCCUCUACUGAUUUUAGAGACCGCCACCAAGUAUUGCAGAGAAAUGAAGACUCACAUGGAUUGAUUGUAUUAACUGAAUUACAGACAGACAGCCUCAGCACGAUAGUCUUCAUCUCGCUCUCUAAUUAUUUAACCGGAUAGAGCCCGGCUGCUGGAAAAUUAGCUCUCAACAGGAGGCAACCGAUCUGAAAGGUUUCUUUUGAUGGAGAAAUUAUGAACUGCCAGUACUACAUAGGCCAGCAAGUCACUAUGUGGACCACUGUAUUUAGUUUGGAAAAUGGCUUGCUUUUAUACAACAGGAGUUUCAGGGAAAAUGGGGAAAUUCCUGUAUUUAAGAUUUUUUAAAGCAUGGAAUUUAGUAAAAAGAAUUGCAGUAAAAC
Hemicordylus capensis (graceful crag lizard) is the source of this 2877-nucleotide long non-coding RNA. RefSeq lists it as uncharacterized. The transcript has 2 exons. Lineage: Eukaryota; Metazoa; Chordata; Lepidosauria; Squamata; Cordylidae. The record is from RefSeq and is a predicted model, not a curated record.